This 440-nucleotide ribosomal RNA is filed under the name uncultured bacterium. RNAcentral's name for it is "bacterial SSU rRNA". It matches the Rfam family "Bacterial small subunit ribosomal RNA", at positions 338 to 795 of the family's 1533-position model. The record is from RNAcentral.
CCUACGGGGGGCAGCAGUGGGGAAUAUUGCACAAUGGGCGAAAGCCUGAUGCAGCGACGCCGCGUGAGCGAAGAAGGCCUUCGGGUCGUAAAGCUCUGUCCUAUGGGAAGAAGAAUGACGGUACCAUAGGAGGAAGCCCCGGCUAACUACGUGCCAGCAGCCGCGGUAAUACGUAGGGGGCGAGCAUUGUCCGGAAUGACUGGGCGUAAAGGGUACGUAGGCGGCUAGAUAAGUCAGAUGUGAAAGGCAUAGGCUUAACCUGUGUAAGCAUUUGAAACUGUCUAGCUUGAGUCAAGGAGAGGAAGGUGGGAUGCGGGGGGUAGCGGUGAAAUGGGUAGGUAGCAGGGGGAAUACCAGUGGCGAAGGCGACUUUCUGGACUUAGACUGACGGUGGGGUACGAAAGCGUGGGGAGCAAACAGGAUUAGAUGCCCGAGUAGUC